AGCGAACGCUGGCGGCAGGCUUAACACAUGCAAGUCGAGCGGGCCCUUCGGGGUCAGCGGCGGACGGGUGAGUAACGCGUGGGAACGUGCCUUCUGGUCUGGAAUAACCCUGGGAAACUAGGGCUAAUACCGGAUACGCCCUUUUGGGGAAAGGUUUACUGCCGGAAGAUCGGCCCGCGUCUGAUUAGCUAGUUGGUGGGGUAACGGCCUACCAAGGCGACGAUCAGUAGCUGGUCUGAGAGGAUGANCAGCCACACUGGGACUGAGACACGGCCCAGACUCCUACGGGAGGCAGCAGUGGGGAAUAUUGGACAAUGGGCGCAAGCCUGAUCCAGCCAUGCCGCGUGAGUGAUGAAGGCCUUAGGGUUGUAAAGCUCUUUUAUCCGGGACGAUAAUGACGGUACCGGAGGAAUAAGCCCCGGCUAACUUCGUGCCAGCAGCCGCCGCUGUAAG
This 453-nucleotide ribosomal RNA is filed under the name uncultured bacterium. RNAcentral's name for it is "bacterial SSU rRNA". It matches the Rfam family "Bacterial small subunit ribosomal RNA", at positions 29 to 527 of the family's 1533-position model. The record is from RNAcentral.